GCUGAUUUAUUUUAAUGGUAGAAGCACUGACUUGUAAUCAGUAGAUGUCAGUUCGAUUCUGACAAUCAGCUCCA
This 74-nucleotide transfer RNA is filed under the name Caudoviricetes sp. RNAcentral describes it as "tRNA-Thr". It matches the Rfam family "tRNA". From Rfam's summary of the family: Transfer RNA (tRNA) molecules are approximately 80 nucleotides in length. Lineage: Duplodnaviria; Heunggongvirae; Uroviricota; Caudoviricetes. The record is from RNAcentral.